CCUACGGGAGGCAGCAGUGAGGAAUAUUGGUCAAUGGCCGGAAGGCUGAACCAGCCAAGCCGCGUGAAGGACGAAGGUGCCAAGCAUUGUAAACUUCUUUUGUCAAGGGACAAAAUCAGGCUCGAGAGCCUGACCGAGGGUACUUGAAGAAAAAGCAUCGGCAAACUCCGUGCCAGCAGCCGCGGUAAUACGGGGGAUGAGAGCGUUAUCCGGAUUUAUUGGGUUAAAGGGGUGCGUAGGCGGGCUGUUAAGUCAGCGGUAAAAGCCCGGGGCUAAACCCCGGCGAGCCGUUGAAACUGGCUGUCUUGAGAUGUCGAGAGGUAUGCGGAAUGCGCAGUGUAGCGGUGAAAUGCGUAGAUAUUGCGAAGAACUCCAGUGGCGAAGGCAGCAUACCGGCGGCGAUCUGACGCUGAGGCACGAAAGCGUGGGUAGCGAACAGGAUUAGAUACCCGUGUAGUC
RNAcentral lists this ribosomal RNA (459 nucleotides) under uncultured bacterium. RNAcentral describes it as "partial 16S ribosomal RNA". It matches the Rfam family "Bacterial small subunit ribosomal RNA", at positions 338 to 795 of the family's 1533-position model. The record is from RNAcentral.